AUGGCGGAAUACCAUGCCGCAGCGUGGGCAGUCGGCGGUUGUGCUAUAUACGUGAGUGACAAACCUGAAAACCAUGACUUCGAUCUGCUGAGGAAGCUUGUGUUUCCUGACGGAUCGAUCCUGCGAGCCAAACUGCCCGGGAGACAAACAGCACUACCGUUGUCGCGGAAAUUCCGUGCGAUGGAAGCUUCUAGAGCCUGCUGGUACUUCCUAGCCAGAAGCCCCAUGAGCUCGACGUCUAGCCCUACAACCACCACCCCACGCACAAGCAGGUGCUAUGCUCUUGCUCACGUCUAG
This 297-nucleotide ribosomal RNA is filed under the name Triticum aestivum (bread wheat). Its description in RNAcentral is "partial small subunit ribosomal RNA". Lineage: Eukaryota; Viridiplantae; Streptophyta; Magnoliopsida; Poales; Poaceae. The record is from RNAcentral.